UGAUCAUGGCUCAGGACGAACGCUGGCGGCGUGCUUAACACAUGCAAGUCGAACGGUGACGGAGGAGCUUGCUCCUCCUGAUCAGUGGCGAACGGGUGAGUAACACGUGAGCAACCUACCCUCGACUCUGGGAUAACUUCGAGAAAUCGGAGCUAAUACCGGAUACGAGACGCGCAGGCAUCUGCAGCGUCUGGAAAGAUUUAUCGGUCGGGGAUGGGCUCGCGGCCUAUCAGCUAGUUGGUGAGGUAACGGCUCACCAAGGCGACGACGGGUAGCCGGCCUGAGAGGGCGACCGGCCACACUGGGACUGAGACACGGCCCAGACUCCUACGGGAGGCAGCAGUGGGGAA
This 350-nucleotide ribosomal RNA is filed under the name Cellulomonadaceae bacterium ACTS199. Its description in RNAcentral is "bacterial SSU rRNA". It matches the Rfam family "Bacterial small subunit ribosomal RNA", at positions 14 to 361 of the family's 1533-position model. Lineage: Bacteria; Bacillati; Actinomycetota; Actinomycetes; Micrococcales; Cellulomonadaceae. The record is from RNAcentral.